RNAcentral lists this long non-coding RNA (834 nucleotides) under Nicotiana benthamiana. Its description in RNAcentral is "long non-coding RNA (NBEN_LNC035721)". Lineage: Eukaryota; Viridiplantae; Streptophyta; Magnoliopsida; Solanales; Solanaceae. The record is from RNAcentral.
CAUAGGAAAAAGUGGACACCAAUCUUGAUAGCAAGAGAAUGAUCAAAUAUUCCAACCACAUCCAAUAGAGCCAAUUUCCUCAACUCAUCUUCAGCUCCUUUACCAGUUAGCCACUUUUCAAAAACACCAUUUUGCAAAAGAUAGCCAAUUCUCCUCAUAGUAAUUUCCCUUUGUUGUUCUUUAGAUUGGUUAUAAUCAGGCUGAACAAAUACUUUACCGCCCCUUAUUUUCGUAUUAAAAAGAUUGCUUUAGAUUGGUUAUAAUCAGGAAAACACCAUUUUGCAAAAGAUAGCCAAUUCUCCUCAUAGUAAUUUCCCUUUGUUGUUCUUUAGAUUGGUUAUAAUCAGGCUGAACAAAUACUUUACCACCCCUUAUUUUUGGGUUAAAAAGAUUACUUUGCAACAUUAGACCAAAUAGCCAGUCUCUUUCUUGCAAAUUAUGACCAUCCAUAAGUUUUCUCAUUUCUUUUGUGUCAAAAACUGAAGAUGGUUCUGAAAAUUCAGGUGGGUUAUAGCUGAGACAUGGGAAAGAUCGGAGUAUUGAAUUAAUGGGUGUUGGGUUUUCUUGGUUUAAGUGUCUGCUUAGGAUUUUUGUUCUGAAAUUCACUUUUUCCAUUGAAGAAAAUAAAAUUUUGGAAUUUUCCGUUGUUGAGAGAUGAAUAAGAAAUCAAGAAAACAGAGAGAGAACGAGGGAGAAUGAUUUUGAGAUUUUCUGUGUAAAAAGUCUUGUGAUAGAAUGGAUCUAACAUUACAAGAAUAAUUAAGUUUAAAUACAUGACAAAUAUAAGCUUCUAGAAGGCCAUGAAGUACGUUGGACAGGCGUGGCAGUGUGAAA